This 497-nucleotide ribosomal RNA is filed under the name uncultured bacterium. RNAcentral's name for it is "partial 16S ribosomal RNA". It matches the Rfam family "Bacterial small subunit ribosomal RNA", at positions 28 to 507 of the family's 1533-position model. The record is from RNAcentral.
GAUGAACGCUGGCGGCGUGCCUAAUACAUGCAAGUCGAGCGAACAGACGAGGAGCUUGCUCCUCUGACGUUAGCGGCGGACGGGUGAGUAACACGUGGAUAACCUACCUAUAAGACUGGGAUCACUUCGGGAAACCGGAGCUAAUACCGGAUAAUCUCUUGCACCGCAUGGUUCAUUAGUGAAAUACGGUUUUUCUGUCACUAAUAGAUGGAUCCGCGCCGCAUUAGCUAGUUGGGAAGGUAACGGCUUACCACGGCGACGAUGCGUAGCCGAGCUGAGAGGGUGAUCGGCCACACUGGAGGGGAGACACGGUCCAGACUCCUACGAGAGGCCGCAGUAGGGAAUCGUACGCAAUGGGCGAAAGCCUGACGGAGCAACGCCGCGUGAGUGAUGAAGGUCUUCGGAUCGUAAAACUCUGUUAUUAGGGAAGAACAAAUGUGUAAGUAACUGUGCACGUCUUGACGGUACCUAAUCAGAAAGCCACGGCUAACUACGUG